UCUCAGAGAUUAAGCCAUGCAUGUCUAAGUACAAACCUUGAAACGGUGAAACCGCGAAUGGCUCAUUAAAUCAGCUAUGGUUCCUUAGAUCGUACAUACUACAUGGAUAACUGUAGUAAUUCUAGAGCUAAUACAUGCCACUAUGCCCUGACCCGCAAGGGAACGGGUGGAUUUAUUAGAACAGAACCAACCGGUGGUGGCUUCGGUCGCUGCCGUUGCAUUCUGUGAUGACUCUGGAUAACUUUACUGAUCGCAGUCGGCCUUGUGUCGGCGACGGAUCUUUCAAAUGUCUGCCCUAUCAAUUUUCGAUGGUAGGUGACCUGCCUACCAUGGUGAUAACGGGUAACGGGGAAUCAGGGUUCGAUUCCGGAGAGGGAGCCUGAGAAACGGCUACCACUUCCAAGGAAGGCAGCAGGCGCGCAAAUUACCCAAUCCCGGCACGGGGAGGUAGUGACGAAAAAUACGGAUACGGGACUCUUUCGAGGCUCCGUAAUUCGAAUGAGUACAUUUUAAAUCCUUUAACGAGGAUCAACUGGAGGGCAAGUCUGGUGCCAGCAGCCG
RNAcentral lists this ribosomal RNA (561 nucleotides) under Ascocotyle sp. BOLD:ACK9862. Its description in RNAcentral is "SSU rRNA". It matches the Rfam family "Eukaryotic small subunit ribosomal RNA", at positions 35 to 576 of the family's 1831-position model. The record is from RNAcentral. Lineage: Eukaryota; Metazoa; Platyhelminthes; Trematoda; Opisthorchiida; Heterophyidae.